GUACACUCCUACGGGAGGCAGCAGUGGGGAAUUUUGGACAAUGGGCGAAAGCCUGAUCCAGCAAUGCCGCGUGUGUGAAGAAGGCCUUCGGGUUGUAAAGCACUUUUGUCCGGAAAGAAAUCCUUGGCUCUAAUACAGUCGGGGGAUGACGGUACCGGAAGAAUAAGCACCGGCUAACUACGUGCCAGCAGCCGCGGUAAUACGUAGGGUGCGAGCGUUAAUCGGAAUUACUGGGCGUAAAGCGUGCGCAGGCGGUUUGCUAAGACCGAUGUGAAAUCCCCGGGCUCAACCUGGGAACUGCAUUGGUGACUGGCAGGCUAGAGUAUGGCAGAGGGGGGUAGAAUUCCACGUGUAGCAGUGAAAUGCGUAGAGAUGUGGAGGAAUACCGAUGGCGAAGGCAGCCCCCUGGGCCAAUACUGACGCUCAUGCACGAAAGCGUGGGGAGCAAACAGGAUUAGAUACCCUGGUAGUCCCAUGAU
RNAcentral lists this ribosomal RNA (479 nucleotides) under uncultured organism. Its description in RNAcentral is "partial 16S ribosomal RNA". It matches the Rfam family "Bacterial small subunit ribosomal RNA", at positions 331 to 801 of the family's 1533-position model. The record is from RNAcentral.